RNAcentral lists this ribosomal RNA (466 nucleotides) under uncultured bacterium. Its description in RNAcentral is "partial 16S ribosomal RNA". It matches the Rfam family "Bacterial small subunit ribosomal RNA", at positions 28 to 507 of the family's 1533-position model. The record is from RNAcentral.
GAUGAACGCUGGCGGCGUGCUUAACACAUGCAAGUCGAACGAUGAAGCCCAGCUUGCUGGGUGGAUUAGUGGCGAACGGGUGAGUAACACGUGAGUAACCUGCCCUUAACUCUGGGAUAAGCCUGGGAAACUGGGUCUAAUACCGGAUAGGGGCGCCUACCGCAUGGUGGGUGUUGGAAAGAUUUAUCGGUUUUGGAUGGACUCGCGGCCUAUCAGCUUGUUGGUGAGGUAAUGGCUCACCAAGGCGACGACGGGUAGCCGGCCUGAGAGGGUGACCGGCCACACUGGGACUGAGACACGGCCCAGACUCCUACGGGAGGCAGCAGUGGGGAAUAUUGCACAAUGGGCGAAAGCCUGAUGCAGCGACGCCGCGUGAGGGAUGACGGCGUUCGGGUUGUAAACCUCUUUCAGUAGGGAAGAAGCGAGAGUGACGGUACCUGCAGAAGAAGCACCGGCUAACUACGUG